AGGUUGGUGGUGCAGUGGUAAGCACAGCUGCUUUUCAAGCAGAUGACUCGGGUUCGAUUCCCGGCCAACUAA
This is a non-coding RNA of Rana temporaria (common frog), 72 nucleotides long. The record is from the annotation of a RefSeq genome assembly. Lineage: Eukaryota; Metazoa; Chordata; Amphibia; Anura; Ranidae.